RNAcentral lists this ribosomal RNA (406 nucleotides) under uncultured bacterium. RNAcentral's name for it is "partial 16S ribosomal RNA". It matches the Rfam family "Bacterial small subunit ribosomal RNA", at positions 30 to 526 of the family's 1533-position model. The record is from RNAcentral.
CUUGAACGCUGGCGGCAGGCCUAACACAUGCAAGUCGAACGAGUAGCGGACUGGUGAGUAAUGUCUGGGAAACUGCCUGAUGGAGGGGGAUAACUAAUGGAAACGGUGGCUAAUACCGCAUACUAUCAGAUGGUACCCAGUGGGAUUAGCUAGUUGGUGGGGUAAAGGCUCACCAAGGCGACGAUCCCUAGCUGGUCUGAGAGGAUGACCAGCCACACUGGAACUGAGACACGGUCCAGACUCCUACGGGAGGCAGCAGUGGGGAAUAUUGCACAAUGGGCGCAAGCCUGAGGCAGCCAGGCCGCGUGUAUGAAGAAGGCUUUCGGGUUGUAAAGUACUUGCAUCGGGGAGGCGUUACCCGCAGAAGAAGCACCGGCUAACUACGUGCCAGCAGCCGCGGUAAUAC